RNAcentral lists this ribosomal RNA (483 nucleotides) under uncultured bacterium. RNAcentral describes it as "bacterial SSU rRNA". It matches the Rfam family "Bacterial small subunit ribosomal RNA", at positions 26 to 507 of the family's 1533-position model. The record is from RNAcentral.
AGGACGAACGCUGGCGGCGUGCUUAACACAUGCAAGUCGAACGGAACUCUUUGGAUCAAGAACUUCGGUCAAGUGAAUUUGAGUUUAGUGGCGGACGGGUGAGUAACGCGUGAGGAACCUGCCUUUCAGAGGGGGACAACAGUUGGAAACGACUGCUAAUACCGCAUAACGCAUAGAGAUCGCAUGGUCUAUAUGCCAAAGAUUUAUCGCUGAAAGAUGGCCUCGCGUCUGAUUAGCUAGUUGGUGAGGUAACGGCCCACCAAGGCGACGAUCAGUAGCCGGACUGAGAGGUUGACCGGCCACAUUGGGACUGAGAUACGGCCCAGACUCCUACGGGAGGCAGCAGUGGGGAAUAUUGGGCAAUGGGCGCAAGCCUGACCCAGCAACGCCGCGUGAAGGAAGAAGGCUUUCGGGUUGUAAACUUCUUUUGUCAGGGAAGAGUAGAAGACUGUACCUGGCGAAUAAGCCACGGCUAACUACGUG